RNAcentral lists this ribosomal RNA (295 nucleotides) under uncultured bacterium. RNAcentral describes it as "partial 16S ribosomal RNA". It matches the Rfam family "Bacterial small subunit ribosomal RNA", at positions 775 to 1067 of the family's 1533-position model. The record is from RNAcentral.
GGAUUAGAUACCCUGGUAGUCCACGCCGUAAACGAUGAGUGCUAGAUGCUGUGGGUAUUGACCCCCGCGGUGUCGCAGCCAACGCGUUAAGCACUCCGCCUGGGGAGUACGGCCGCAAGGCUAAAACUCAAAGGAAUUGACGGGGGCCCGCACAAGCGGUGGAGCAUGUGGUUCAAUUCGACGCAACGCGCAGAACCUUACCUGGGUUAAAUCCACUAGAAGUUAGCAGAGAUGCUGAUGUGCCCUUCGGGGAGCUAGUGAGACGGUGCUGCAUGGCUGUCGUCAGCUCGUGCCG